GAAACAAGGGAAAGACUCGUAAAGAGGCUGCAGUAGAGAAUCUUGUGCAAUGUAUGAAAGUAUGACACAGGGAUGUCGCAUAAGAUAGACCGUCAAAUAUACGUGCCAGCCGACGCGGUUAUACGUAAGGUCUAAGUUUUUGUUGGGAAAGGCGUAAAGGGUGUGAAGGUGAAUGAGUUUAAAAGGGGGUAAAUAUAACUUUUAUGUAGCGGUAAAAUGCUUGAAUAUAAACAGGUACAUCAAAAGCGAAGGCAAUUUAUUACUAAAAACUGACACUCAAGCACGAAAGUAGGGGUAGCAAACAGGAUUAGAUACCCUGGUAGUCCUUACUGUAAACUAUGAGGAUUAGAUUAUAAGUUAGUCUACGAGAACUCAAAAGAUUCCGCCUGAAGAGUACGAUCGCAAGAUUAAAAUUUAAAAAAUUUGGCGGUUCACUAAACCAAUUAGAGGGGCGUGUAGUUUAAUUCGAUGAUCCGCGAUUAACCUUACCAAAACUUGAAUAUUUAAUAUGUAAAUAAAUGAGUAUUAAAUACAGGUAUUGCAUGGCCGUCGUCAGUUUGUGUUGUGAAAGAAAUAGAAGGAGCUCAACCCUUAACGAUAAUUUUGUCUGAAUUACGUAAUUAAGGAUGACGUCAGGUCCUUAUGAUCCAAAUGUUUUGGGCUAUAUAUGCGCCACAAUCUUUUAUA
RNAcentral lists this ribosomal RNA (687 nucleotides) under Neoaulaxinia persicum. RNAcentral's name for it is "partial 12S ribosomal RNA". It matches the Rfam family "Bacterial small subunit ribosomal RNA", at positions 321 to 1239 of the family's 1533-position model. Lineage: Eukaryota; Metazoa; Porifera; Demospongiae; Tetractinellida; Phymatellidae. The record is from RNAcentral.